RNAcentral lists this ribosomal RNA (598 nucleotides) under uncultured fungus. RNAcentral's name for it is "eukaryotic LSU rRNA". The stretch from base 221 to 375 matches the Rfam family "5.8S ribosomal RNA". Lineage: Eukaryota; Fungi. The record is from RNAcentral.
CCUGCGGAAGGAUCAUUACCGAAUCGUCAAACACGGGUUGUUGCUGGCCUCCAAACGGGGGCACGUGCACGCUCUGUUUACACAUCCACUCACACCUGUGCACCCUCUGUAGUCCUAUGGUUCGGAAGACCCCGUCUUCCUUCUGUAGCUCUACGUCUUUACACACACACUGUAGCGAUGUCUCAUGGAAUGUUUUUAUGCGUUUAACGCGAUACAAUACAACUUUCAGCAACGGAUCUCUUGGCUCUCGCAUCGAUGAAGAACGCAGCGAAAUGCGAUAAGUAAUGUGAAUUGCAGAAUUCAGUGAAUCAUCGAAUCUUUGAACGCACCUUGCGCCCCUUGGUUAUUCCUUGGAGCAUGCCUGUUUGAGUAUCAUGAACACCUCAACUCUCAUGGUCUUCCAUGAUGAGCUUGGACUUUGGGGGUUUGCUGGCCCUGCGGCCGGCUCCUCUCAAAUGAAUCAGCUUGCCAGUGUUUGGUGGCAUCACGGGUGUGAUAACUAUCUACGCUCGCGGUCGUCUGCCAGGUAACCCUCAGCGAUGAGGGUUCAUUGGAGCUCAUAAACGUCUCUCCUCGGCGAGGACAACUUUUGAACGUU